This is a non-coding RNA of Halocaridina rubra (Hawaiian volcano shrimp), 72 nucleotides long. NCBI's taxonomy places the organism in Eukaryota, Metazoa, Arthropoda, Malacostraca, Decapoda, Atyidae. The record is from the annotation of a GenBank genome assembly.
GAUCUUGUGGCCGACUGAUAAAGCUUGCGACUUUGAUUCGUCAGGGCGUAGGUUCGAGGCCUGCCACGAUCU